AAAAGUAAUAUGUUAUUAAUGGUUGCGGUUAGGACGUUGAUCGGCUUUAUCGAUUAUAUGCAUCAAUCUUUUCAAAGGAUCUCCUCAAUUUGUCUAAGUUCCUUGUUGGUCAUUUCUUUUAUGUGAACAUUCUAAUGCUUUUCAUUGAUUGUGACGCGUGAACGAAUGACAUGAGAUGAUGGAAGAACCGAACCAUGGAAGGAUUGAAGAACGUUCGAGAUCUUCAUGUGUUCCUAUUAGGAUUAGGGGAUUGAUGCCUCUUGUGAAUGCCUUCAAUUGGAAGGCUUGCCACUGAUUAUCAAAGGACACCAGGAUGAUUGGACUGUAUAGCUUACAGUGAAGAGACACCAAGGACAUGCUGGCGAGUGUCUAGAUUACGGUGGAAGAUUGGAUGGCCGAGAAGAUCUGAGGAACAUUGGGCCAUGAUUGGUUCGCUCGGAUAGAGAACUUCCUUAGGAUGAUGUGGCCGCAAAUUGAUGGAUGCCAAGAGAAAAAACACUAGAACACGUCCUUAAGAUCAACGCCAGGAGGAGGGGCCACCGUGAAGAACAUCGCAAAGGGAAUGCAGGAGGGAGACUAAAACGAGAAAACCUCCGUCGCAAGAAGAUUUCGCCGAGAGGGAACCUGCGGGAGAGCCGAAAAAUAAGAACACUAGUGAGCGAGUGAUGAGCAAAUUCUCGAGUUCCUGUCUCAGUCCCGCCUGGGCGGUGGCUCGAACUGGCUUACACCACGAGCUGGAUUCUGUCUUGGUGUGGUGCCCGGUUAUUAGACGUCAGAUGAAGGCCCAGAGUCGGAGCUGCAAUGGAUCAUAGUGUUGAUCGCGGAAGGGGCCACCUACAGUGGACCGCCUGAUAGAAUGAUACCGUCGGAAGCGGUGCUCGCGGAUCGUGGUGCUUACGGAUGACAGUACUUUUGGAUGAUGAAACGCAGCAGUAAACCGCCAAAGUGGAUCUCCAGGAUGAGGAGGGCGGACGAGACCGCGGACACUAGAGACACAGCUUGCUCAGCCUGAGAGUGUGUGUUCAUCGUGAGUUUUUUCCUCUCCCAUUAGUGUCGCACUCUCUGCCUUUUAACACCCGCGUACAAGCAUCUAUAUAUGUCAAAAAAUCUGCUUCCUCAAUCUCCGGGAUUCGCAAUCCUUGUCAAGGCAAGACUGGCUGGCCUUAAUCUCCCCUCGUUUCCUUUCUCAUUCACCUUCUCUUUUCCUUAAACACCUCCUCACAUCUUCGGAAACGGGAGACUGAUUUGGAUUUGAUUUUGACCACUUUAGAGAGUUCUUUAUUUGUUGUUA
This is a long non-coding RNA of Syzygium oleosum, 1291 nucleotides long. RefSeq lists it as uncharacterized. The transcript is spliced from 2 exons. The record is from RefSeq and is a predicted model, not a curated record. Lineage: Eukaryota; Viridiplantae; Streptophyta; Magnoliopsida; Myrtales; Myrtaceae.